ACCUAACUCGGUGGUGUAGUGGCAGCACGCGUCCAUGGUAUGGAUGAAGCACGGGUUCGACUCUCGCCUGUGGUC
Non-coding RNA from Parelaphostrongylus tenuis, 75 nucleotides. The record is from the annotation of a GenBank genome assembly. Lineage: Eukaryota; Metazoa; Nematoda; Chromadorea; Rhabditida; Metastrongylidae.